GGUCCUGUAGCUCAGUUGGUCAGAGCGACGGUCUAAUAUGCCGUCGGUCGUGGGUUCAAGCCCCACCGGGACCA
Molecule: non-coding RNA, 74 nt
Organism: Lolium rigidum
Lineage: Eukaryota; Viridiplantae; Streptophyta; Magnoliopsida; Poales; Poaceae
Source: the annotation of a RefSeq genome assembly